RNAcentral lists this ribosomal RNA (501 nucleotides) under uncultured bacterium. Its description in RNAcentral is "partial 16S ribosomal RNA". It matches the Rfam family "Bacterial small subunit ribosomal RNA", at positions 30 to 523 of the family's 1533-position model. The record is from RNAcentral.
AUUGAACGCUGGCGGCAGGCUUAACACAUGCAAGUCGAGCGGGGGAAGGUAGCUUGCUACUGGACCUAGCGGCGGACGGGUGAGUACUGCUUAGGAAUCUGCCUAUUAGUGGGGGACAACAUCUCGAAAGGGAUGCUAAUACCGCAUACGUCCUACGGGAGAAAGCAGGGGAACUUCGGCCCUUGCGCUAAUAGAUGAGCCUAAGUCGGAUUAGCUAGUUGGUUGGGUAAAGGCCUACCAAGGCGACGAUCUGUAGCGGGGCUGGGGGGAUGAUCCGCCACACUGGGACUGAGACACGGCCCAGACUCCUACGGGAGGCAGCAGUGGGGAAUAUUGGACAAUGGGGGGAACCCUGAUCCAGCCAUGCCGCGUGUGUGAAGAAGGCCUUAUGGUUGUAAAGCACUUUAAGCGAGGAGGAGGCUACUCUAGUUAAUACCUAGGGAUAGUGGACGUUACUCGCAGAAUAAGCACCGGCUAACUCUGUGCCAGCCGCCGCGGUAA